RNAcentral lists this ribosomal RNA (497 nucleotides) under uncultured bacterium. RNAcentral's name for it is "partial 16S ribosomal RNA". It matches the Rfam family "Bacterial small subunit ribosomal RNA", at positions 28 to 507 of the family's 1533-position model. The record is from RNAcentral.
GAUGAACGCUGGCGGCGUGCCUAAUACAUGCAAGUCGAGCGAACAGACGAGGAGCUUGCUCCUCUGACGUUAGCGGCGGACGGGUGAGUAACGCGUGGAUAACCUCCCUAUAAGACUGGGAUAACUUCGGGAAACCGGAGCUAAUACCGGAUAAUCUAUUGAACCGCAUGGUUCAAUAGUGAAAGACGGUUUUGCUGUCACUUAUAGAUGGAUCCGCGCCGCAUUAGCUAGUUGGUAAGGUAACGGCUUACCAAGGCAACGAUGCGUAGCCGACCUGAGGGGGUGAUCGGCCACACUGGAACUGAGACACGGUCCAGACUCCUACGGGAGGCAGCAGUAGGGAAUCGGCCGCAAUGGGCGAAAGCCUGACGGAGCAACGCCGCGUGAGUGAUGAAGGUCUUCGGAUCGUAAAACUCUGUUAUUAGGGAAGAACAAAUGUGUAAGUAACUAUGCACGUCUUGACGGUACCUAAUCAGAAAGCCACGGCUAACUACGUG